Molecule: ribosomal RNA, 459 nt
Filed under: uncultured bacterium
Lineage: Bacteria
Description: bacterial SSU rRNA
Rfam family: Bacterial small subunit ribosomal RNA
Source: RNAcentral
GACGAACGCUGGCGGCGUGCUUAACACAUGCAAGUCGAACGAGACGAUUUAGAAGCUUGCUUUUAUUGAGUCGAGUGGCAAACGGGUGAGUAACGCGUAGGCAACCUGCCCUUUAGUUGGGGACAACAUCCCGAAAGGGGUGCUAAUACCGAAUGUGACAGUUUUUCCGCAUGGGAUUACUGUGAAAGAUGGCCUCUAUUUAUAAGCUAUCGCUAAAGGAUGGGCCUGCGUCUGAUUAGCUAGUUGGUGGGGUAACGGCCUACCAAGGCGACGAUCAGUAGCCGGUCUGAGAGGAUGAACGGCCACAUUGGGACUGAGACACGGCCCAGACUCCUACGGGAGGCAGCAGUGGGGAAUCUUCCGCAAUGGACGAAAGUCUGACGGAGCAACGCCGCGUGAACGAUGACGGCCUCGGGUGUAAGUUCUGUUAUACGGUACGAAUAGGCGUAGCGGUCAAUA